Molecule: ribosomal RNA, 406 nt
Filed under: uncultured bacterium
Lineage: Bacteria
Description: partial 16S ribosomal RNA
Rfam family: Bacterial small subunit ribosomal RNA
Source: RNAcentral
AUUGAACGCUGGCGGCAUGCCUAACACAUGCAAGUCGAACGCGUGGCGGACGGGUGAGUAAUGUCUGGGAAACUGCCUGAUGGAGGGGGAUAACUACUGGAAACGGUAGCCAAUUCCGCAUACCAUCAGAUGUGCCCAGAUGGGAUUAGCUUGUUGGUGGGGUAACGGCUCACCAAGGCGACGAUACCUAGCUGGUCUGCGAGGAUGACCAGCCACACUGUAACGGAGAAACGGUCCAGACGCCUACGUGAGGCAGCAGUGGGGAAUAUUGGACAAUGGGCGAAAGCCGGAGGCAGCCAUGCCGCGUGUAUGAAGAAGGCCUUCGGGUUGUAAAGUACUUUCAGCGGGGAGGCGUUACCCACAGAGGAAGCACCGGCUAACUCCGUGCCAGCAGCCGCGGUAAUAC